GAUCAUCUCCUCCUCCCGUUUUGUUUAGUACUAACAGUACGUAAUCGUCGUUCAUCUGAUGACCAACAAGUUCAGAGUUCAAGACAUCUCUACAUAUGAGUUCAACGAGUACGUCAUGUGUUUCUUUUCACCAAAUGGUCCUUGUUAAUUAGUUCUUUCUUUCUUUCUUUCUUUCUUUCUUUCUUUCUUUCUUUCUUUCUUUCUUUCUUUCUUUGUGUCAUCCCUGGAAUAAUAAUACUUGCGCAUAUAAAUGCAAAUGCAGAUGCUCUUGCAAUA
RNAcentral lists this non-coding RNA (276 nucleotides) under Zea mays. Lineage: Eukaryota; Viridiplantae; Streptophyta; Magnoliopsida; Poales; Poaceae. The record is from RNAcentral.